Molecule: long non-coding RNA, 1889 nt
Organism: Biomphalaria glabrata
Lineage: Eukaryota; Metazoa; Mollusca; Gastropoda; Planorbidae
Exons: 3
Source: RefSeq, a predicted model, not a curated record
UAUAUAAUAGAACACUAAACACUAUUUAUGUAAAUGCCCAUUUUUAAGUUUGUAAAAUAAUAAUUUGUUUUUAUAAAAAAUCUGGCUAUGCCUAUAGUACUUUUAACAAAAUUAUGACUAAAAAUAUUAUGAACGUCGAGUCUCUAGAUUCAUCAUCUUUGUGUGUCUGAUAAACCCAGAGAAUGAAGAUAUAGAAUCUAUAUAGGCCCCCUAUUAUAUAGAAUCUAGCUUUAGUUGACUCUAGACUAGAUCUAGGAUAAUUUCAAGUCUAGAUGUUCAGCUUCAUCUUACCUUGAUCAUGAUGAUUAAUUUUAAUCUGACUUCCUGACUUGUUAACUUAAACUUCGUCUUACUUAUAGCCCUUAGGCGCCUUAGCCUUAGCUUCUUCAUAUGUGAAUCAUGAAUGGAAGUGCUUGGCUCACAGUGUCACAGAUCGUUCUUUAAACUAUUUGAAGAUCUACUUUAUCUUUACUAACGACUCUAAUCUAUAUCUAGUUUAUGUCUAUAUUUUAUAUGAUAAUAAUAGACAUAGACUCUUAUACUUAUAAUAAAGACAAAGUAAUAAGAUCUAGAUCUAGAAUCUGUAUCUAGAUCUAUUCCCAUUUGUGAUUUAUACACUACAGAUUUAAUGUUUCUGAUGAGCAAUACUACUAUCUACAGCCAUGCCCAUUAACAUAGGCCCUACUCAUGUACUAGAUCUAGCUCUUUUGAUCACAACUCAUAUCUUGCCUAGAUAUAAACAACUGUACUAGAUUGGACUAGACAUUCUAAUCGGUUCUAUUUUCGUUUUUCAUUAUUCUCACAUAUUCUAGUAGGCAAUAGGUACCAAAUUGUGCUAUUUAUUCACUGUAGAUCUAGAUCUUAACUUUUCUCUUAACUACCAAAGAAGUACACAAAGGAUGUUGAAAGGUACCCAAAGGGCUCUUAUUGCUACCAUUCAAUGUGUGGAAUCAAGUAUUUACCCAGAUACUGCCACAAUAUGCUCUUAUUGUUUUCAAAGGAGUUUUCACACAGUGCCAGAAGCUGUAUAAAUACAUUUAACAAUGUAUAUUUCAAGAAGAAAUGAUGCUUUCUUAUUUCUAAGAGUUUAUCAAUAGGAUGAAUGCCACAAAACUCACUUGUUAUGCCAGAAACUCUUCCUACGAAACUACCAUACUAGAAUUUGUCCAGUGCCUGUGAUCCUCUGAGUUGAAGGAGAAUGUGCUCCAUAAUACCUACUAGGAGCUUGCUGAUAGCUGGAAGUUCAUGAAUACUAUGUUGUCCUUGAUUUGAUGAUUCUGAAAACUACCAUUUCUGAAGACUUGAGCAUUAUUUCUAUAAUUUAAAAAAAUCUUUUCAGGAAAUAUUGUGUUUAUAAUAUUAAGAAAGGGAAGAUAAUAUUGUUCUUACUAAUAUUAUUGACUUAUUAAAAUAGAAAGCACAUCAUUACCAAUAUUCACUUGUCAAUAAAUGUUAGCAUUAUUCAAUUUUUAGUUACAUGUUCAAACUAUUAAAUUUUAUUAUUUAAAUUAUAGCAACUUUCUCUUUCAGUCCAGCUUAAGAUACAUUCCUGUAAAAAGUCUAUAAUAAUAAGUUAAUGUCGAUGUAGUAUUGUUCAGACACUUACAAGUUUAAUCAUCUAUACUUCACAAAAAAAAAGUGUUUGAAUGGUUUUCAUUUGUUUGUACAUCAAAUAUGUAUUAAUAUAUUUAUCAUUUUUAGAUGAAACAUUAAAUACUGAAGAUGACCAUCUCAAUUUCUGAUGUAGGCCUAUUCUCAUUUCAUGAAAUAAACAAAAUAUUAUCUGAAAUUUCAUCCCUUCAUGGUAACUGUAACUGGCUUCAUAAAAAAAUGGAGUGAUGACUGGGUUGACUAUACAUUUUUGUAUAAAUAAUGCAUCAAUGAAUGUA